AUUGAACGCUGGCGGCAGGCCUAACACAUGCAAGUCGAACGGUAACAGGAAGCAGCUUGCUGCUUCGCUGACGAGUGGCGGACGGGUGAGUAAUGUCUGGGAAGCUGCCUGAUGGAGGGGGAUAACUACUGGAAACGGUAGCUAAUACCGCAUAAUGUCGCAAGACCAAAGAGGGGGACCUUCGGGCCUCUUGCCAUCGGAUGUGCCCAGAUGGGAUUAGCUUGUUGGUGGGGUAACGGCUCACCAAGGCGACGAUCCCUAGCUGGUCUGAGAGGAUGACCAGCCACACUGGAACUGAGACACGGUCCAGACUCCUACGGGAGGCAGCAGUGGGGAAUAUUGCACAUUGGGCGCAAGCCUGAUGCAGCCAUGCCGCGUGUAUGAAGAAGGCCUUCGGGUUGUAAAGUACUUUCAGCGGGGAGGAAGGGAGUAAAGUUAAUACCUUUGCUCAUUGACGUUACCCGCAGAAGAAGCACCGGCUAACUCCGUG
Molecule: ribosomal RNA, 490 nt
Filed under: uncultured bacterium
Lineage: Bacteria
Description: partial 16S ribosomal RNA
Rfam family: Bacterial small subunit ribosomal RNA
Source: RNAcentral